UAAGGUCACGGCGAGAUGAGCCGUUUAUAAUAUAAGACGAUAGGUGUCAAGUGGAAGUACAGUGAUGUAUGCAGCUGAGGCAUCCUAACAGACUGAAAGAUUUGAAC
This 107-nucleotide ribosomal RNA is filed under the name Torreya nucifera (Japanese torreya). Its description in RNAcentral is "4.5S ribosomal RNA". The record is from RNAcentral. RNAcentral also lists the same sequence under 7 other names. Lineage: Eukaryota; Viridiplantae; Streptophyta; Pinopsida; Cupressales; Taxaceae.